This 471-nucleotide ribosomal RNA is filed under the name uncultured bacterium. RNAcentral's name for it is "bacterial SSU rRNA". It matches the Rfam family "Bacterial small subunit ribosomal RNA", at positions 355 to 825 of the family's 1533-position model. The record is from RNAcentral.
UGGGGAAUAUUGGACAAUGGGCGCAAACCUGAUCCAGCAAUACCGCGUGUGUGAAGAAGGCCUGAGGGUUGUAAAGCACUUUCAAUGGGGAGGAAAAAGCGCAGGUUAAUACUCUGCGUAUUGACAUUACCCAUACAAGAAGCACCGGCUAACUCCGUGCCAGCAGCCGCGGUAAUACGGAGGGUGCGAGCGUUAAUCGGAAUUACUGGGCGUAAAGCGUGCGUAGGCGGCCUGUUAAGUCAGAUGUGAAAGCCCUGGGCUCAACCUGGGAACGGCAUUUGAAACUGGCAAGCUAGAGUUGGGUAGAGGGGAGUGGAAUUUCAGGUGUAGCGGUGAAAUGCGUAGAUAUCUGAAGGAACACCAGUGGCGAAGGCGGCUCCCUGGACCCAAACUGACGCUGAGGUACGAAAGCGUGGGUAGCAAACAGGAUUAGAUACCCCCGUAGUCCCUGAGCGGGCUGGCAAGGCGCAU